AUGGUAGAAGGAUCUAUUAUACCAGAAUGUCAACGAUGAUCAUGUCAGGGUCUUUUAUAUACUGUUCAUAACUGUUGAAAUACCCAUAGGAAUGCUGGGUAAUCCAUAUCUGCCAUUACAUGAAAAAAAAUUGAAAAUGUGCGUACCAGGUUCUGCCGCUCAGUGAAGGUAUAGGUUAUUGAACAACCAUUUUGCAACUGGUUCUUCAUCUGCAAAGGAAAGCAAUGUGUGAAAAAUCAUAGUUUGCCAUAUGUUAAUAAAUUUUAACAGGGGCUUUAAAAGCUAUUUAGUGCCCUGCCAUUAAUUUAGAGAGAUUUAAUGCCAAAAUAUUUCUUAAUUCCGUAUUAACUUUCACUAGCACUCAAAUUUAACAAAUGAUUUAUGCAUGAGUAAUGAUUACAUGCAUGUGUGGUUUGCUGUGGGAUUUUAUAACACAGCCUAAUAAAUCCCUUUCCAUAUAAUUUUAUAAUGCAAGUACAUGUGGUUUAUCCCGCAGGGGGAUUAACUUCUAGUAAAAGCAGCUUAUCUUACCAGACGUCUUAAAUUUAAGAGAUGAUCCUCUGUGACAGAGUGCUUACAUGGACCUGGCACACCAGCAUACACCAAAUAAAAGCACAGGAUAAGGAAGAUGCCCAGAUGCCUUACCUACAAUCACAAAACAAUUAUGAGUUUUAUUUACAAAAUCACACCUGAAUGGAUGAAGUAGAUUUGUAUUUAUUUAUUAAUUUUUAUUGCAGUUUUGGCAGCUUUUAAGUUGUCAACUCUUAUUUUAAGGUCAUGUCAAGACAUUUACUUUUAAUUCAGUUUCCCCUUCAAUUGGGAACUCGCACUGCAUCCCCUGGAGGAUACUUUGGGGAAAGCUGUCAGCCUGACCAUUGUCUGAAGCACGUGUGCAAAACACUACCAAUUCAAUGGAUGUCAGCAACCCAUGAGGUCAUGGAGGAGCACCUGGAAGUAUAAAGGGGCACCUGUAAUGUAUAUGUCACCAGGUUUUUAAAUUUUUUGUAAUGUAUGUCACCAGGAGCCGUUUAUUUGUUCAGCACGUACGAGUCAUGGCUAAAAGCUCGACUGAAUGUUUUAGGAGUCUGUGACUCUGAGGUUUCUGAGACCUGAGGACAUACACGACCUAUGCUUUAUGUGUUUGAGAGUGGAGCAUGCAUGUUUAGUGCUCGAGGAUGCUGAAUGCAUGAGGACCAGAUGCAGAUCCAAGCUCUCGCUUGAGUCAUCAGAUCCGGCAGAUAGCACACUGCUGGUGUCAUCCAGUCAUGAUGAGGAAGUGCAUGUAGUUGGUGGUGAUGUGGAAAGUAUGAACAAGCUGUCCCAGCCCUGCAUACGAGUAAAUGUUGGAGGUUAAUGCCCAUGCUGCAAAAAGUUUGUGGGCUAUCUCUCCCAGGGUGAAUUACUGUAUUUUCUUUGAAGGCUCUUGUUCUGCCAUCCAGGUCGCUUCAAACUACCUUGUGGUUGAAUGGCAGGGUAUAUGCAGCAUCGGGUCAGGCUAGAGGGGUUUUACACAUGAUGGCCAUGUUAUAAGCCUACCAGGCAAACCUGCUGAAAGAUCUGAAUGAAGGCUUUUCGAUAUAUCCGUCGAGAUGGUGGUCGAAGUUCAGUGAGGCAAGGGCGCAGUCAGUAGUCUUUAAGAGGUACAUCACAACAUACAUGUAACUCCUGGAUUAGUCCUGUGAAAUGAACAACACUGUGAAAUGCAUUUGGCAGCAAAUCUUUCCAGGCACCCAUCAUCCUCUUUGAUCCACUAGCUGCAUGUUGUUUUCCCUUUGGAGGCUUAAACAGAUUCAGUAUUUUACUCCAUUAAACUCCAGAUGUUUCACAUGGCCUUCAAAAUAACAUCUAACUUACUGAUUUUAAAGCUUUUAGUUGUUCUUUCCCUCUUUACAUUAUACUCUCUGAUUUUCUUUUGACCUUAUCAAAUUUCUGAAGCAGCGGCAUAUUGUGUCACAUGACUUCCCAGCAAUGGAUGUUUCAGAGACUAUACUGUAGCACACCGAUGACCUUUGGAGCAAAUAUUCCAUUCAUCUUGGAAACUUGGCAACCUCAUUAAUCUGUUUUCAGGGAUCUACUUUAUUACCACACUGAGCAAUAUGUGCUCACGCUGUGGUGGUUGUGGUAACUACAUAAUAAACCCUUUUUUCUUUUUUCCUUUUUUUAAAUCUGAGCUGCAUCUAAAUCGGCCACUGGCUCAUUAUUUACUAUAUAGUGUAUGGCACAUAAUGCACUAUAUGUGAAAAAGAGAAACAACGAGUGAGCAACUUCAGAUGCUGAUAUAAUCACCGCGUGGCAGAGUGUCGAAAUAACUUUUUUACACCUUGUAAAAUAAUAUUGUUGAUGAUAAUAACUUUACUAAAAAAAACUACACAUACAAUUUUUUUCCGUUUUUUAUUAUUUAACAUAUAUUUAGAAGAAAAAAAUUAGUUUACAUGUUCUCAUAUUUCAUGUCAUAUUUAAUAGAUUUUUAAUUCAUUAUAAUAAAAUAAUAGUCUACCAACCAUGUGAAUAAGUGAUUAUGUUCAUCAUUCCAUGGUUCAACUACAGGUAAUCUUUAUACGAUAAAUCAGACUGCAUUUUGAGUUCAAAAAAAAGAUUGAAUUGUAUAAUUUGGACAACACUACAGAAUGGCCAGCUCCAAUAUAGUGCACCUAUAUAGGGAAUAGGGAGUGGUUUUGAUUGCGUCUGUCUCCUCAUGUAAUUGUGGUGGGGCUUGAGUUAGUCAGUGCACAUGUACUCUCCGGACAGCCAGGACUUUGAAUAUUGUCUCUGUGAUGCAGGAAGUCCAUUAAACGUGCCUUUAUGCCGCUAAGCCUAUGGAGUCUGGGGCACUGGCCCACCUUUUCCCCAAGGCUCUGUGCAUUUGGCAUCACUCAGAAAUUUUGUUUUGGGCCCCCUGAAUUUAAGCAAGAUACACUUCAACCUGGCAGCAGCUACAUCUGCUCAUCUAUCUUCCCCGUCUCUUCCUUUAAAAGGUCCACCCCAAGUCUAAAGAUUUCUCAGCCUUUUCCUCACACCUGAAUGUACUUAAAAGCAGAAACACAACCACAGAUUUACCAUAUACCUGU
Molecule: long non-coding RNA, 3068 nt
Organism: Cyprinus carpio (common carp)
Lineage: Eukaryota; Metazoa; Chordata; Actinopteri; Cypriniformes; Cyprinidae
Exons: 3
Source: RefSeq, a predicted model, not a curated record